RNAcentral lists this ribosomal RNA (510 nucleotides) under uncultured bacterium. RNAcentral describes it as "bacterial SSU rRNA". It matches the Rfam family "Bacterial small subunit ribosomal RNA", at positions 32 to 519 of the family's 1533-position model. The record is from RNAcentral.
AAUCAACGCUGGCGGCGUGCCUCAGACAUGCAAGUCGAACGCGAAAGUCCCCUUCGGGGGACAAGUAGAGUGGCGCACGGGGGAGUAGCACGUAGGUAAUCUACCUUCGGAUGGGGAAUAACAAUCGGAAACGGUUGCUAAUACCGCAUAAUGCAGCGGCACCUAAUGGUGACAGUUGUUAAAGCGGGGGAUCGAAAGACCUCGCGUCUGAAGAGGAGCCUGCGGCGGAUAGCUAGUUGGUAAGGUAACGGCUUACCAAGGCGACGAUCCGUAGCCGGCCUGAGAGGGCGGUCGGCCACACUGACACUGACAUACGGGUCAGACUCCUACGGGAGGCAGCAGUCGGGAAUUUUGGGCAAUGGGCGAAAGCCUGACCCAGCAACGCCGCGUGAAGGAUGAAAUCCCUCGGGAUGUAAACUUCGCAAGAACAGGAAGAAUAAGUGGGGGACAAUACCCCCAUGAUGACGGUACUGUUUGUAAGCUCCGGCUAACUCCGUGCCAGCAGCCGCA